UGACAUCAUCAUGAUGAUGUAACUAUGACCUCAUAAUUAAUUUUAAUUUAAUUAACUAAUUGACUAAGUCAAAUUAAAGACUAAAAACAAAAUUGAAAAGCCAAUUUUUUUACUUCUUCUUCUUCUUUUUUUCCCUCUUUCCCGUAGCUCUCUCCUCUCCCUCUCAUUUCCAUGAAAAGCCACCAUUAAAGCUUGCAUACAAGCUUUAAUUCUUCCACUCAAUUCUCAUAACUCCCCUAAAAUACCCUACUAAAGCUUGUUAUUACUACUAAGAAGGAGAUUACAAGGAAAAAGAAGAGCAAAAGUUAGGGUUUUGAAGAUUUAAGAAAGUUGAAAAGAAUAUCGGGAAGGAACCCGAGGAACCGAGUCGAGGCUAAAGGACGACUCGUUUGAGAUACAGAGAUUAGAGGAGCAGCAGACUGAGCUGCUGAGGUGUGUGAAGUCAUCAGCUUGAAGUCUU
Hevea brasiliensis (rubber tree) is the source of this 460-nucleotide long non-coding RNA. RefSeq lists it as uncharacterized. The record is from RefSeq and is a predicted model, not a curated record. The transcript is spliced from 3 exons. NCBI's taxonomy places the organism in Eukaryota, Viridiplantae, Streptophyta, Magnoliopsida, Malpighiales, Euphorbiaceae.